Molecule: transfer RNA, 90 nt
Filed under: Hyphomicrobium sp.
Lineage: Bacteria; Pseudomonadati; Pseudomonadota; Alphaproteobacteria; Hyphomicrobiales; Hyphomicrobiaceae
Also listed under: 4 other names
Description: tRNA-Ser
Rfam family: tRNA
About the family: Transfer RNA (tRNA) molecules are approximately 80 nucleotides in length. Their secondary structure includes four short double-helical elements and three loops (D, anti-codon, and T loops). Further hydrogen bonds mediate the characteristic L-shaped molecular structure. tRNAs have two regions of fundamental functional importance: the anti-codon, which is responsible for specific mRNA codon recognition, and the 3' end, to which the tRNAs corresponding amino acid is attached (by aminoacyl-tRNA synthetases). tRNAs cope with the degeneracy of the genetic code in two manners: having more than one tRNA (with a specific anti-codon) for a particular amino acid; and 'wobble' base-pairing, i.e. permitting non-standard base-pairing at the 3rd anti-codon position.
Source: RNAcentral
GGAGAGGUGGCAGAGUGGUCGAUCGCGUCGCACUCGAAAUGCGAAGUACGGGCAACCGUACCGGGGGUUCGAAUCCCUCCCUCUCCGCCA